Non-coding RNA from Potamilus streckersoni, 74 nucleotides. Lineage: Eukaryota; Metazoa; Mollusca; Bivalvia; Unionida; Unionidae. The record is from the annotation of a GenBank genome assembly.
AGCUCCGGUGGUCUAGUUGUUAGAGCGUCCGCUUCGGAUGCGGGAGGUCCUGGGUUCUUUCCCCGGUCGAGUCA